This 460-nucleotide ribosomal RNA is filed under the name uncultured bacterium. RNAcentral describes it as "partial 16S ribosomal RNA". It matches the Rfam family "Bacterial small subunit ribosomal RNA", at positions 338 to 795 of the family's 1533-position model. The record is from RNAcentral.
CCUACGGGUGGCAGCAGUGAGGAAUAUUGGUCAAUGGCCGCAGGGCUGAACCAGCCAAGUCGCGUGAGGGAUGACGGUCCUAUGGAUUGUAAACCUCUUUUGUCAGGGAGCAAAGGGCGCCACGUGUGGCGUUUUGCGAGUACCUGAAGAAAAAGCAUCGGCUAACUCCGUGCCAGCAGCCGCGGUAAUACGGAGGAGGCAAGCGUUAUCCGGAAUGACUGGGCGUAAAGGGUGCGUAGGUGGUUUGACAAGUUAGUAGCGCAACUCCGGAGCUCAACUUCGGAACUACUACUAAAACUGUUGGACUUGAGUGCAGGAGGGGCAAUCGGAAUUCCUAGUGUAGCGGUGGAAUGCGUAGAUAUUAGGAGGAACACCAGUGGCGAAGGCGGAUUGCUAGACUGUAACUGACACUGAGGCACGAAAGCGUGGGGAGCAAACAGGAUUAGAUACCCCUGUAGUC